Molecule: long non-coding RNA, 1441 nt
Organism: Lolium perenne
Lineage: Eukaryota; Viridiplantae; Streptophyta; Magnoliopsida; Poales; Poaceae
Source: RefSeq, a predicted model, not a curated record
GCGUAAGGUACCCACUUCGUCUCAAAUCGCGUCUAAGAACCCUAGGAGGAGAUGUUUGUUCCCGGCGGCGUGCUGGGGAGAAGGAGGUCUUGCCGACCGGAAAGGGGGGAGGAGGCGCAGCCGGGCCGUCGCGUCGAGGCCCCCGGCUUAUGCGCGCAGGAGGAGCCAAUUCAGGAGGGGUACCGCACUUGCCUCCUCGCGCCGGUCGGCCGGUGGUCAUUUGGCCGUGGCGUCCAUCCCCCGACGGAUGUCGCGCUGGAGGGGACGGCCGGGCAGGGAGACAAGUCAGCGCCAGGGCGUGGCGUCCAGGCCGUUGUCUUAAAGGAGGGGGACGGGGAUGCGGCGCGGCCGUGGCGUUCAGCCAUCGGGUCCCUUGGGCGGCGAUGGCGCACGGUCUAGGCGUCCAGCCGUUGGCUCCAUGCGGUGGCGUUGUGGAGCAACGGUAGGAGCGACCGUUGACUCCAUGGACGGAUGGGCUCCGAGGGGUGGGGCAAAGGUAGGAGCAGCUCUGGAAGCAAGGUGGUCAGCUCCAUCGACGGAUGCACGGGACCUGCACCAGUACGAGCAUCCACAAGUUCAGCAAGAGCGUGUACCUGCCCCUACAUUGGCUCUUCCUGAUAAACUUGGACUAAGAUGCCCAGGCAGGCUCAGAAUCAGGCAAUGUCCUGAACAAAAUACUUUGGUUCAUGACACUGCUCUUUUACCUGGAAGUGAUGUUGAUGUCUGGCAGUUCAGCGGCUGGUGGGAAGGAAUAGUUGUCAGUACAUAUUCCGGUUUAUCUUUUUUUUUUUGCGAGGCUAUUCCGGUUUAUCUGAUAGUCUGCAAAUAUAUUUCCCAGGAGCCUUUUCUUACUGAAAUGAUGUUUUCCCGUACUUAACUUUGUCUUCAUAGAAUGAUGGUGAAAUACACAAGAGAGUAAAAUCUAAUAUGGAAGAUCUGAGGAACAAAACAAAAGCGAGAUCCUAACAACAAGAACAGAGUGUUUGUAUUCAAAACAAAUGUGCAUGGAAGGCUCAUCCGUGUAUACCGAAUAAAACAUAAUUGUUCCAAGCAAACGUGAGUGGUAUUUAGUAAAUAAAUCUCACUCUUAAACCAACUCUAUGAAGUGUGUGUACUAGUUAUUGAAAUUUAGAAGUGUGUACUAGUUAUUGCAACAUGUGUAAAUUUUUUUGGAUAGUUUUUUCCCUUCCAGUACUCUAUGAACCAAAGCACAAACAGGCUGCAAGAGCUCCUGCAGCAAGUACCAAGCAGCAACAGCAAACUUACUGUGACAUAUAAAAUAUCAAUGUGCCCGAGGGCGGCUGUAGUUUAUCAAUUCGGGAGGACCUUCUCAACAAAUAUGCUGAAGAGACGCUAAACUACUGCACUGCGGCUGCGGCUUCAAACAGUACUCUGCAUGAUGCAUUGGAUUCAUCAGCAAACCUUGUGAAGGAGAAGGAAC